RNAcentral lists this long non-coding RNA (200 nucleotides) under Elaeis guineensis (African oil palm). RNAcentral's name for it is "long non-coding RNA (EGUI_LNC054102)". Lineage: Eukaryota; Viridiplantae; Streptophyta; Magnoliopsida; Arecales; Arecaceae. The record is from RNAcentral.
GAGUUGCAAUAGGGGCUUGGCGCCCCUGAUGUAUUAUAUUAUCAGCUGAACCUUUUCUUUUCUAUGUUUCCAAUCGUAGAUUGAGAUUUUUACAUGUUGAUGUAAAAAUAUAAAAGAAAAAUUAUUUGAGAACAGAUAAAAAUUAUUUUUUCUAUUUUCAAAUAAAGAUCAAACAUUCAUGAUAGACUUCAUGGUGACGA